RNAcentral lists this ribosomal RNA (816 nucleotides) under uncultured bacterium. Its description in RNAcentral is "bacterial SSU rRNA". It matches the Rfam family "Bacterial small subunit ribosomal RNA", at positions 1 to 796 of the family's 1533-position model. The record is from RNAcentral.
CCCUUAGAGUUUGAUCCUGGCUCAGAAUCAACGCUGGCGGCGUGCCUCAGACAUGCAAGUCGAACGCGAAAGUUCCCUUCGGGGAGCGAGUAGAGUGGCGCACGGGUGAGUAACACGUGGGUAAUCUACCUUUGGAUGGGGAAUAACAACCGGAAACGGUUGCUAAUACCGCAUAAUGCAGCGGCACCUAAUGGUGACAGUUGUUAAAGCGGGGGAUCGCAAGACCUCGCGUCUAAAGAGGAGCCCGCGGCGGAUUAGCUAGUUGGUAAGGUAACGGCUUACCAAGGCGAUGAUCCGUAGCCGGCCUGAGAGGGCGGUCGGCCACACUGACACUGACAUACGGGUCAGACUCCUACGGGAGGCAGCAGUCGGGAAUUUUGGGCAAUGGGCGAAAGCCUGACCCAGCAACGCCGCGUGAAGGAUGAAAUCCUUCGGGAUGUAAACUUCGCAAGAACAGGAAGAAUAAGCCGGUGUAAAUACCACCGGCGAUGACGGUACUGUUUGUAAGCUCCGGCUAACUCCGUGCCAGCAGCCGCGGUAAUACGGGGGGAGCAAGCGUUGUUCGGAUUUACUGGGCGUAAAGGGCGCGUAGGCGGCCUCUGCAAGUCGACUGUGAAAUCUCCGGGCUUAACCCGGAAAGGUCAGCCGAUACUGCAGGGCUAGAGUGCAGAAGGGGCAACUGGAAUUCUCGGGUGUAGCGGUGAAAUGCGUAGAUAUCGAGAGGAACACCUGCGGCGAAAGCGGGUUGCUGGGCUGACACUGACGCUGACAGCGCGAAAGCUAGGGGAGCGAACGGGAUAGAUACCCCGGUAGUCC